GCGAAAGUGGUGGAAUUGGUAGACGCGCUGGAUUUAGGAUCCAGUGGGAGAAAUCCUGUAGGGGUUCGAGUCCCCUCUUUCGCACCA
This 87-nucleotide transfer RNA is filed under the name Candidatus Cloacimonadota bacterium. RNAcentral's name for it is "tRNA-Leu". It matches the Rfam family "tRNA". From Rfam's summary of the family: Transfer RNA (tRNA) molecules are approximately 80 nucleotides in length. Their secondary structure includes four short double-helical elements and three loops (D, anti-codon, and T loops). Lineage: Bacteria; Pseudomonadati; Candidatus Cloacimonadota. The record is from RNAcentral. RNAcentral also lists the same sequence under 1 other name.